Molecule: ribosomal RNA, 408 nt
Filed under: uncultured bacterium
Lineage: Bacteria
Description: bacterial SSU rRNA
Rfam family: Bacterial small subunit ribosomal RNA
Source: RNAcentral
UAGCGGAGCGUGUGGUUUAAUUCGAUGCAACGCGAAGAACCUUACCAGGGUUUGACAUGCUUGAAGUAGAAACUCGAAAGAGGGACGACCUGUAUCCAGUCAGGAACAUGCACAGGUGCUGCAUGGCUGUCGUCAGCUCGUGCCGUGAGGUGUUAGGUUAAGUCCUGCAACGAGCGCAACCCUCGUCGCUAGUUAAUUUCUCUAGCGAGACUGCCCGUAUAACGCGGAGGAAGGUGGGGAUGACGUCAAGUCAGCAUGGCCCUUACAUCCUGGGCUACACACACGCUACAAUGGGUGAUACAAUAGGUUGCAAUAGAGCGAUCUGGAGCCAAUCCAAAAAAUCAUCCUCAGUUCGGAUUGCAGGCUGAAACUGCCUGCAUGAAGUUGGAGUUGCUAGUAACCGCAUAA